GUUGGUAUGGCCUAGCGGUAUAGCGUCUUGAUUUUCAAAUAUCAUUAUUCUAGUAUUCUCUAGACAUUAUAUUAGGUGGUAGGGUUCGAUUCCCUACGCGGCCA
This is a non-coding RNA of Xylariaceae sp. FL0255, 104 nucleotides long. NCBI's taxonomy places the organism in Eukaryota, Fungi, Ascomycota, Sordariomycetes, Xylariales, Xylariaceae. The record is from the annotation of a GenBank genome assembly.